UGGGGAAUAUUGGACAAUGGGCGCAAGCCUGAUCCAGCCAUGCCGCGUGGGUGAUGAAGGCCCUAGGGUUGUAAAGCCCUUUCAGCGGGGAAGAUAAUGACGGUACCCGCAGAAGAAGCCCCGGCUAACUUCGUGCCAGCAGCCGCGGUAAUACGAAGGGGGCUAGCGUUGCUCGGAAUUACUGGGCGUAAAGCGCACGUUGGCGGCUUUCUAAGUCGGGGGUGAAAUCCUGGAGCUCAACUCCAGAACUGCCUUCGAUACUGGAAAGCUCGAGUCCGGGAGAGGUGAGUGGAACUGCGAGUGUAGAGGUGAAAUUCGUAGAUAUUCGCAAGAACACCAGUGGCGAAGGCGGCUCACUGGCCCGGUACUGACGCUGAGGUGCGAAAGCGUGGGGAGCAAACAGG
Molecule: ribosomal RNA, 404 nt
Filed under: bacterium
Lineage: Bacteria
Description: partial 16S ribosomal RNA
Rfam family: Bacterial small subunit ribosomal RNA
Source: RNAcentral